UAUUAUAUUACGUUUAAAUAAGAGAUACUUGAGUAGUAAUAGUUAUGGUCUUGAAACUCAAAGAAUUUGGCGGUGUUUUAGUCCUUUCAGAGGAACCUGUUCUGUAAUUGAUAAUACACGAUUUGUUAAACUUUCCUUUGUUGUCAGUUUGUAUACCGCCGUCAUAAGAUUAUCUUAUGGAGAGUAAAAAAUUUCUUUAUUUUUAAUUAAUAGUGAUGUCAGGUCAAGGUGCAGCUGAUGGGAAAGUAGAAAUGGGUUACAAUAAUUUUAAUUAUAUGAAUAUAAUAGUAAGUGAUGAUUUGAAGGUGGAUUUGAUUGUAAAUGUAAAUUGAAUAUUACAUUGAUUAGGGCUCUAAAAUGUGCACACAUCGCCCGUCGCUCUCGUUUUAAUAUGAG
RNAcentral lists this ribosomal RNA (396 nucleotides) under Phaeogryllus fuscus. Its description in RNAcentral is "partial 12S ribosomal RNA". Lineage: Eukaryota; Metazoa; Arthropoda; Insecta; Orthoptera; Phalangopsidae. The record is from RNAcentral.